AUUCCAGCUCUCAAGGUGUAUAUCGCCAUUGCUGCGGUUAAAAAGCUCGUAGUUGGAUCUGCGCCUUCGGACUCGGUCCUCCCAACGGGUGCGAACUGAGCUCCAAGGCUACUACUGCUGGUUUUCCCUUGAUGCUCUUCACUGGGUGUCUUGGGUGGCUAGCGAGUUUACUUUGAAAAAAUUAGAGUGCUCAAAACAGGCUAUUGCCUGAAUACCGGUGCAUGGAAUAAUAGAAUAGGAUCUCGGUCCUAUUUUGUUGGUUUUCGGAACUGAGAUAAUGGUUAAGAGGGACAGACGGGGGCAUUCGUAUCGCUGCGUGAGAGGUGAAAUUCUUGGACCGCAGCGAGACGCCCAACUGCGAAAGCAUUUGCCAAGAAUGUCUUCGUUAAUCAAGAACGAAAGUCAGAGGUUCGAAGGCGAUCAUAUACCGCCCUAGUUCUGACCGUAAACGAUGCCAACUAGCGAUCCGCCGGUGGUAAUUACGCCCCGGCGGGGAGCUUCCCGGAAACGAAAGUCUUCCGGUUCCGGGGGAAGUAUGGUUGCAAAGCUGAAACUUAAAGGAAUUGACGGAAGGGCACCACCAGGAGUGGAGCUUGCGGCUUAAUUUGACCCAACACGGGAAAACUCACCCGGCCCGGACACCGUAAGGAUUGACAGAUUGAGAGCUCUUUCUUGAUUCGGUGGUUGGUGGUGCAUGGCCGUUCUUAGUUGGUGGAGCGAUUUGUCUGGUUUAUUCCGAUAACGAACGAGACUCUGGCCUACUAACUAGUGACAGAAUUAUUGCUGUUCUGGUUACUUCUUAGAGGGACAAGUGGUGUUCAGCCACACGAAAUUGAGCAAUAACAGGUCUGUGAUGCCCUUAGAUGUCCGGGGCUGCACGCGUGCUACACUGGAGGAAACAGCAUGCAAAACCAUUGCCGAGAGGCAUUGGUAAACCCGAGAAUAUCUUCCGUGAUCGGGAUCGGGAAUUGCAAUUAUUUCCCUUGAACGAGGAAUUCCCAGUAAGUGUGGGUCAUCAGCUCGCGCUGAUUACGUCCCUGCCCUUUGUACACACCGCCCGUCGCUGCCCGGGACUGAGCCGUUUCGAGAAAAGCGGGGACUGCUGCUGUUGGGGCUUUCGGGCCUUGGCUUCGGUGGAAACCGCUUUAAUCGCAGUGGCUUGAACCGGGCAAAAGUCGUAACAAGGUUUCCGUAGGUGAACCUGCGGAAG
RNAcentral lists this ribosomal RNA (1210 nucleotides) under metagenome. RNAcentral describes it as "SSU rRNA". It matches the Rfam family "Eukaryotic small subunit ribosomal RNA", at positions 582 to 1823 of the family's 1831-position model. The record is from RNAcentral.